UACGGAGGGGGCUAGCGUUGUUCGGAAUUACUGGGCGUAAAGCGCACGUAGGCGGCUUUGUAAGUUAGAGGUGAAAGCCCGGGGCUCAACUCCGGAAUUGCCUUUAAGACUGCAUCGCUAGAAUUGUGGAGAGGUAAGUGGAAUUCCGAGUGUAGAGGUGAAAUUCGUAGAUAUUAGGAGGAACACCGGUGGCGAAGGCGCCGCUCUGGGCCGAAACUGACGCUGAGGAGCGAAAGCAUGGGUAGCAAACAGG
RNAcentral lists this ribosomal RNA (253 nucleotides) under uncultured bacterium. RNAcentral's name for it is "partial 16S ribosomal RNA". It matches the Rfam family "Bacterial small subunit ribosomal RNA", at positions 524 to 776 of the family's 1533-position model. The record is from RNAcentral.